AUCAGUAAGCGGAGGAAAAGAAACUAACAAGGAUUCCCUCAGUAGCGGCGAGCGAACAGGGAUCAGUCCAGCACCGAACCCCGCGCUCCGAAAGGGCGCCGGGGAAUGUGGUGUUCGGGAGGACCGUGCGCGUCUGUCCGGUAUUGAUCGCCCAAGUCUCCAUGAACGGGGCUAUCAACCCACAGAGGGUGUCAGGCCCGUAGGCUGGCGAGCCGAGACCGUGUACCGGGUCCCUUCCCAAGAGUCGGGUUGCUUGAGCGUGCAGCCCUAAGCGGGAGGUAAACUCCUUCUAAGGCUAAAUAUCGCCACGAGACCGAUAGCGAACAAGUACCGCGAGGGAAAGUUGAAAAGAACUUUGAAGAGAGAGUUCAACAGUGCGUGAAACCGUUCAGGGGGUUAAACGGGUGAGCCCUCGAAGGUCGAAGGGUCCCUCCUCCCGUCGCGCGCUCGCACGCGCUCUGCUCCGGCGAUCCGUAAAAAAGACGCCCGGCAGGGGAGAGUCGGCGAGCGCCGGCCGCAAGUGAGGGGCCUCUUGUAGGACUCCGCAACCGGCUGGGUCGUCGGCAGAAGGGGGCGUCGGUAACGAGGUCGCGCGGGGGUUCGCUCCCGCGGCCGAGUCUGGCGUCACACCGGUCGAUCGAUCCCGGCCGUGUCCUGUAUCUCGCUGUCGGGAAACUUCGUUCCCAGUCAGAGAGCCAGUAGCGGAGAGUAAAAAGUCGGGUCUCACCCGACCCGUCUUGAAACACGGACCAAGGAGUCUAACAUGUGCGCGAGUCGUCGAGUCGAUAGCGAAACUCGCGAGGCGCAAUGAAAGUAAAGUGUCCCCGACGAGGGUGUUGCACGAGGGGAGAUCCCGUCUCUAUACAAACCGGAGCGGGCGCAUCCCGCGGGCGUUCGAAGCCGCGACUCUAGUCGGCCGAACGAACCCGGAGCGCACACGUUGGGACCCGAAAGAUGGUGACCUAUGCCUGACCAGGACGAAGCCAGGGGAAACCCUGGUGGAGGUCCGCAGCGAUUCUGACGUGCAAAUCGAUCGUCGGAGUUGGGUAUAGGGGCGAAAGACUAAUCGAACCAUCUAGUAGCUGU
RNAcentral lists this ribosomal RNA (1086 nucleotides) under Sida crystallina. RNAcentral's name for it is "eukaryotic LSU rRNA". It matches the Rfam family "Eukaryotic large subunit ribosomal RNA", at positions 42 to 954 of the family's 3401-position model. The record is from RNAcentral. Lineage: Eukaryota; Metazoa; Arthropoda; Branchiopoda; Diplostraca; Sididae.